AGCGAGGCGUCCCUUGGGCUGGCGGCGUGUGCUCGGUGCCGUGCAAGAGGAGCCCCUGUCCUGCUUCGCCAGAGCC
Trypanosoma vivax Y486 is the source of this 76-nucleotide small nucleolar RNA. It matches the Rfam family "Trypanosomatid snoRNA TB11Cs4H3". NCBI's taxonomy places the organism in Eukaryota, Euglenozoa, Kinetoplastea, Trypanosomatida, Trypanosomatidae. The record is from Rfam.